Molecule: long non-coding RNA, 411 nt
Filed under: Ananas comosus (pineapple)
Lineage: Eukaryota; Viridiplantae; Streptophyta; Magnoliopsida; Poales; Bromeliaceae
Description: long non-coding RNA (ACOM_LNC009638)
Source: RNAcentral
UCUAUUAUUUUUUCUAUAAUUGAUUUUAUCGUUCAAAGUAAAAUUAAUAAUCGCUUAGAAAGAUGGAGUUACAGCAACCGAAGAUAAAUAUAUAGCUAAAUUACAGAAAACCUUCCUGUCAAAAUAUAAUUUUUCACUUUUCCUCUCCGUUAUUUAAAAAUCUACACUUUACCUUCUUGUAAAAUAAAAAAUGUUCAUAGGGGUACGGUGUGAACUAUGAUGACAAAAUGAUUAUUUUGCCCCUCACCAUGUUCACAGAAGAAAAGACUGAGAGCAUUUUUGACAUAAAAAAUAUAUUAUAAUAUUUUAUAAAUGGAAUUCUAACAGAUUACUAACGGUAGAGGGGUGAAGUGAAUAUUUUUUAUUUUACAAGAAGAUAAAUUAUAGAUUUUUAAAUGACAAAAAAAAAAA